RNAcentral lists this ribosomal RNA (271 nucleotides) under uncultured Faecalibacterium sp. RNAcentral's name for it is "partial 16S ribosomal RNA". It matches the Rfam family "Bacterial small subunit ribosomal RNA", at positions 71 to 339 of the family's 1533-position model. The record is from RNAcentral. Lineage: Bacteria; Bacillati; Bacillota; Clostridia; Eubacteriales; Oscillospiraceae.
AGAGAGAGCUUGCUUUCUCGAGCGAGUGGCGAACGGGUGAGUAACGCGUGAGGAACCUGCCUCAAAGAGGGGGACAACAGUUGGAAACGACUGCUAAUACCGCAUAAGCCCACGGGUCGGCAUCGAUCAGAGGGAAAAGGAGCAAUCCGCUAUGAGAUGGGCCCGCGGCGCAUUAGCUAGUUGGUGAGGUAACGGCCCACCAAGGCAACGAUCGGUAGCCGGACUGAGAGGUUGAACGGCCACAUUGGGACUGAGACACGGUCCAAACUCC